RNAcentral lists this ribosomal RNA (528 nucleotides) under uncultured bacterium. RNAcentral describes it as "bacterial SSU rRNA". It matches the Rfam family "Bacterial small subunit ribosomal RNA", at positions 983 to 1509 of the family's 1533-position model. The record is from RNAcentral.
GACAUCCAGGGAAUUUAGGCAGAGAUGCUUUAGUGCCUUCGGGAACUCUGAGACAGGUGCUGCAUGGCUGUCGUCAGCUCGUGUUGUGAAAUGUUGGGUUAAGUCCCGNAACGAGCGCAACCCUUAUCCUUUGUUGCCAGCACGUAAUGGUGGGAACUCAAAGGAGACUGCCGGUGAUAAACCGGAGGAAGGUGGGGAUGACGUCAAGUCAUCAUGGCCCUUACGAGUAGGGCUACACACGUGCUACAAUGGCGCAUACAAAGAGAAGCGACCUCGCGAGAGCAAGCGGACCUCAUAAAGUGCGUCGUGGUCCGGAUUGGAGUCUGCAACUCGACUCCAUGAAGUCGGAAUCGCUAGUAAUCGUAAAUCAGAAUGUUACGGUGAAUACGUUCCCGGGCCUUGUACACACCGCCCGUCACACCAUGGGAGUGGGUUGCAAAAGAAGUAGAUAGCUUAACCUUCGGGAGGGCGUUUACCACUUUGUGAUUCAUGACUGGGGUGAAGUCGUAACAAGGUAAGCGUAGUGCU